Molecule: small RNA, 150 nt
Filed under: Arabidopsis thaliana (thale cress)
Lineage: Eukaryota; Viridiplantae; Streptophyta; Magnoliopsida; Brassicales; Brassicaceae
Description: ATSL202780
Source: RNAcentral
AGAGGGCAAGCAAAACCUAUGUCUGGGGAGUUGAUAUAACCCGAUUUUCACCGAUUUUAUCUAUGUUUUAGGUAUACGAUUUUGAGUCUUUAUGUUACUUCUCGAGUCUUUUUAGUGUCUUUUCAGGUAUUUUAUGCAAUGGGACAACAA